GUCUUGCUUGAGAUUCCUGUCUACCUGAGGCCUUCUAAAGCCUAGGUGAAGGGCAUAUAGCCUGGAGUCUCCUUGCAGGUGUUGUGAUACCUAUGUGGUACACUUGGGACAGGCUCUUUUAUGGCUACCUUCAAGGGGAAAAAAACUGCAAAGAUAGGAUGAAGAUAAUGGUAGCAAAAGCAAGACCAGAUCACCCCUGAAGACCAGUGGGAUCAGUGUGACUGUUUGAAGGUUAUGUUAUGGAUGCUGCAAAUACUCCUGUUUACAGAGACAUGUUUCCAGAAGUGACCAAAAAAGAGAAUGUUUGCCUCCAGCUCUCACUAAUGAGCUACAAAACUUUAAUAUUGAGGAGGAAAUACCUUUGAUUUGCUCAUUUGUCAGAUAAUAGCAUUCUCCUUUUAUUCACUUUGCUUAGUGCCAAGGUAGAGGAUUGUAAUUUGAUGUAAUGGGGGGUCCAGUGGUAUGUUGGUGGGUAAUACUGUAAUGUAGUUUCCUGCUACCACUUCACCCUGCUACAAUUUGCAUGGCUGAUGAGUUUCAGCACAGUUUGAAGCUAAUAUGAGGAGGCUGAGGUAGAAGGGAUGUGAACCGAAGGACCAUCAGGGGCUCUUAUGGAGAGGGAGAAGUUAUUAAAUAAGAGCAUUCUCUGAAAUGAGUGAUCAAAAAGUGGUAAUGAAGGGGGAUACUCCUAUGCAUUCUAAGAAAGGAGAAAGUGCAUAUAACUUAAGCAUUUUUAGCUAUGCAGUUCCAACUCCUGUUAAAUCAGAAAUGCAGUCUAAAUCGGUACUUAGCAGAAUUUUACCUUUAAGAAUGACUAUAUGACUUUAUCUUGUUCAGUAAAGAAACAAAGAGGGAAACUCUUGAUUGUUUUAUAUUGUAUGUGUUUUGGAGGAGUGAGCUUCCUGAAGAAACAAUAUUUCUUCCUGGACUGUGCCAUUAAAAAUGAACAAAAAACCCCGCCUAACGUAUUUUCACUUACAUUCCUGAAAAACUGAGUGUGUUUAGAAGAGGAUUUAGGUUCACUUGGAUAGCUGAUGUCAGCAUAGUUUAAAAAUGAAAGCAUAAUAGUCACAGCUCUAGAAAAUACAUCACAGCAGAGCACUACAGAAAAGGAAACUAAUCUAGCUCAUGCAGGAAUGAGAAUUCUUUCCUCCAAUAUUGAUUAGGAGGAAUAGCUACUGCUUGUAACCUUAAUUAUUCACAGCUAAGUUACCUUACCUUAAAUUUAAGGGAAAUUCAGUCUGUUCACUGAGAGGAUAGUGAUUUAGUGCAAUCCAAAUGUCACCAAGGCUGUCCCGAAAGAUCCCUGUUGUUGCAUCCCUCAGGACUCCCAAUUCUUUCUGAAAUGAAAGAUUUUACAGGCUGUAUGUAAAGCUUUAUAAAGCUAAGUGAUUUCAUUAAAAUAAACAUUGGAGGCAUAGGAAACUGGUGCAGAGUUUAAACUCUGGAUCAGAUCUGUGUUAUGCAGUAGUUACUGGGAAGUCUUGAAGAAUCAAGGAAUAUAAUGUGACAGCAAUCCCAUGUGACUGGUUCUGUCUCAGCUGUGAAGACUACAUCUGGAUACAAACUUGCUCUCAAUUCAAAACCUGUGCAGAAGAUAAAUGAUACAGGAGCCAGCUUUCAUCUGGCAAGUUUUGAGUACACUGAGUAAAAUUAGUCAUGAGCACAGCUUCACUGAACAAGAAAAUUGCUAUAAAAUAUUGCAGGUCUAUAAAAUCUAUUAAGAGUAAUGCAUUUCUAGGCUAGUUUCUGCAGUGCUUCUGAUAAUAGGCAACUCUAGUAUUUUUCACUCUGAGGGAAUUCUUGUUGUCUGUAUUAGUUGAGGAUCAUGAUUUUAUAUGCCUGAGCACCCAUGCUGCUCCUCAAAAUACAGACACUCCUGAAAAGUACUUUUGGAGUGGAUUUGUAAACAAAAAAAGUGUAUUAUGGAAAGAUUAAAGUACAGUUGUACUGAAAAGCCCAAGUAGAUAACUCCUCAUAGUCAAAGCAGCCUACCAUGUAGGCACGCAAAUGCUGUGGAAGGGAGUAUAAUAGUUAUUGCUUCCUAGUAGAAAUGUGUCAGCAUGAGAGUGUAUGGGUUUAGUAGUUUAUUAAUUGCACCUGAUGAUUCAUCCUUUUGUAUGCAUUAGAAAUAUUUAAGUGACAAUUUCCUUAUGUUUGAAUAAAUAUUUCCUGGUACUGGGUGUGUAGAGUAAGUCCCACUAAUGGGACUAAUAUUUAUUUUGCUAUAGCAGUGCUAAAUCUGCAUUUAUCCAUUCUCAGAAAUGUGCUACAGAAUAUUAUUAAAAAGAAUUAAUGAAAAAUACAUUGAACUGGCUGUUCUAAAUCCUCUUUCCUAUUUUAAGGGUGCCUGAUGCUGUUCUUUAGUGUGAAAUACGGCAGUGGACCAAUUUUUUAAUGAAAUGCAUUUUGUCUUGAGGUAAUACACUUUCCAUAGCUCGCUGAGAUUAUCUUACAUAAUUUGCAUAAUAAAUAAUGUGUACUCAACUAUGCUCAAGGACUGCUGGCAGAUGGGAAUUUGAUUUGUAAGAGUAUUUUUCAUCUACUUAGACUUCAGUUGUUAUCUGAGCAGGGUCCCUGUAUGAUACACUUGGUUCUUGUAUUUCAACAGUUUUUUUGAGUAAAAGUUGGAAU
This is a long non-coding RNA of Gallus gallus (chicken), 2634 nucleotides long. RefSeq lists it as uncharacterized. Lineage: Eukaryota; Metazoa; Chordata; Aves; Galliformes; Phasianidae. The transcript has 4 exons. The record is from RefSeq and is a predicted model, not a curated record.